CAGGGCCCUGUUUCAGAAAGCCGGUUUAGUGCAAACUCUGAGUAAGUAUACCCUGAGUUAACGAAAACUCUGGGUUUUCGGUUUCACAAAGCGAGUUUAGAUUAAUUCUGAGUGAGUUACUAUGACGACACACUCCGUGAAGCUAACCUGCCCCCUAGCAGGUUUACUUCAACUAACCCUGAACUUCUCCGCCUCUUUGUCGGAAACCUGACUGUAGGAAGUGUCAGACAUGGCGUGCCCCUUCCUUGAAGAGCCAGUAGAUGUUGAAGCCCAAAUUCUCCGCAGAGCUCUCCGCCGGGAGUGAGUGAUUAGAGCGCGUUUGGACAUUUUAUCAUGUCCUGAUGAUUUUCUGUGUGAACGUUACCGUUUUUCAGCACAAUCGAUAAUUUAUUUGAAUAACAUCCUCAGGCCUUAUAUUGCUCAUGUGACACAUCGCGGACAUUCUCUCAGUUCUGUACAUAUUAUUUGUAUUGCACUUCGUUUUUUUGCAAACGGGAGCUUUCUGUAUAAUAUUGGUGACGCUGAGCACGUUUCCAAGGCUACCGUCUGUCGGGCAGUCAGGAAUGUUACAGUUGCACUGAAACGUCUCCUGUACUCGUUUGUGGUGUUCCCCGGUCAUAGACCCACAAGAUUUAUCAAAGAGGGAUUCCACAAAAUUGCAGGUAUCAGGAUGAACAAAACUUAAUUCAUGAUGUGGUGAUACUUGAACUACUACUUAGAUUUUACAUUUAUUUUCAGGGUUCCCAGGCGUGAUUGGCUGUAUAGAUGGCACUCACAUUCCAUUCUGCUGCUUGAAGUGUUCCAUUUCCAAAAAGCAUUUUUUUUAUUUUCUUGAUCAAACAGGUCUUGUACAGCUGCUUUACAGGGAGCUAUUGAAACACAGAAAAUAGCAUUGACAUUCAUAGUACAUGCCUACUUAGGUUGGUUGUAAAUCAGUGCUGAACAUCUUACUGAGGAAAGGUUUGUUGGAGAAGUGGCUGGACCCUCUUCCUCUACAUUUUUUAUAUUUCAUUUUUACUUGCUGCCAGGAACGUUUGGGGCCUGUUGGGUUGCACAUGCGCUCACAUCACAUCACAAAAUAAAAUGUAUAAAAUAAAAAAUAAAAUGAAAUAUAAUAAAAUAACGUGUUAAAUGGGUGGAAAUCCCUAGAUCAAUUUUUAAAUUAACACUCACGCAUUGACUCUGUCGGCUAUGUAUUGCCAUGCAUGCUCCCUUUCUUUUGCAGCUGAGGCUGUGUUACUUUUUUUCCGCAAAAUUUGCAUGUUAUCGGCAUAUGCUGCCAUCAGAAUUUCGGCCUCAAGCGCUGUAAAAUACAUUGGCCGCGCCUUCUUUCCCUCCGUCUCCAUGGUGACUCGCUUAAUCUGUGCUCCACUAAUCAGGGCUUUAUGCGCGUGCUUAACUUGGGGUUUAAGCAACUCCGCGUUGAUUGAACUAAUUGUUAUCAGCCUUUCUGAAACCGAAUAUUCCGAGUUGGACAGUUCGGGGUUACUCAACCCUGAGUAUCAUUUUUAACUCUGAGUUUUCUAAACCGGCUUUCUGAAACAGGGCCCAGGUGUUUAAAUGAAG
This is a long non-coding RNA of Oreochromis niloticus (Nile tilapia), 1566 nucleotides long. RefSeq lists it as uncharacterized. The record is from RefSeq and is a predicted model, not a curated record. The transcript has 3 exons. Lineage: Eukaryota; Metazoa; Chordata; Actinopteri; Cichliformes; Cichlidae.